Non-coding RNA from Hypoxylon sp. CO27-5, 71 nucleotides. The record is from the annotation of a GenBank genome assembly. Lineage: Eukaryota; Fungi; Ascomycota; Sordariomycetes; Xylariales; Hypoxylaceae.
GGAUGAAUGUCAGGCGGUAAGACCUAGCUCUUUCGAUGCUAUCAUCGCGGGUUCGAUACCCGCGUACUCUU